This 72-nucleotide transfer RNA is filed under the name Cricetulus griseus (Chinese hamster). It matches the Rfam family "tRNA". Rfam says of the family: Transfer RNA (tRNA) molecules are approximately 80 nucleotides in length. The record is from Rfam by way of RNAcentral. Lineage: Eukaryota; Metazoa; Chordata; Mammalia; Rodentia; Cricetidae.
UGGGGCAUAGCUUAGGAGUAGAGCAUUUGACUGAAGAUCAAGAAGUCCUUGGCUCAAAUCUAGGUCCCCCUU